Molecule: ribosomal RNA, 437 nt
Filed under: uncultured bacterium
Lineage: Bacteria
Description: bacterial SSU rRNA
Rfam family: Bacterial small subunit ribosomal RNA
Source: RNAcentral
CAGGCCUAACACAUGCAAGUCGAACGCAUCACUUCGGUGGUGAGUGGCAGACGGGUGAGUAACACGUGGGAACGUACCCUUCGAUCUGGGAUAACUUCGGGAAACUGGAGCUAAUACCGGAUACGCCCUUUUGGGGAAAGGUUUACUGUCGAAGGAUCGGCCCGCGUCUGAUUAGCUAGUUGGUGGGGUAACGGCCUACCAAGGCGACGAUCAGUAGCUGGUCUGAGAGGAUGAUCAGCCACACUGGGACUGAGACACGGCCCAGACUCCUACGGGAGGCAGCAGUGGGGAAUAUUGGACAAUGGGCGCAAGCCUGAUCCAGCCAUGCCGCGUGAGUGAUGAAGGCCUUAGGGUUGUAAAGCUCUUUUGUCCGGGACGAUAAUGACGGUACCGGAAGAAUAAGCCCCGGCUAACUUCGUGCCAGCAGCCGCGGUAAU